AUGCAGUCGAGCGGAACGAGUUAUCUGAACCUUCGGGGAACGAUAACGGCGUCGAGCGGCGGACGGGUGAGUAAUGCCUAGGAAAUUGCCCUGAUGUGGGGGAUAACCAUUGGAAACGAUGGCUAAUACCGCAUAAUGCCUACGGGCCAAAGAGGGGGACCUUCGGGCCUCUCGCGUCAGGAUAUGCCUAGGUGGGAUUAGCUAGUUGGUGAGGUAAGGGCUCACCAAGGCGACGAUCCCUAGCUGGUCUGAGAGGAUGAUCAGCCACACUGGAACUGAGACACGGUCCAGACUCCUACGGGAGGCAGCAGUGGGGAAUAUUGCACAAUGGGCGCAAGCCUGAUGCAGCCAUGCCGCGUGUGUGAAGAAGGCCUUCGGGUUGUAAAGCACUUUCAGUCGUGAGGAAGGUAGUGUAGUUAAUAGCUGCAUUAUUUGACGUUAGCGACAGAAGAAGCACCGGCUAACUCCGUGCCAGCAGCCGCGGUAAUACGGAGGGUGCGAGCGUUAAUCGGAAUUACUGGGCGUAAAGCGCAUGCAGGUGGUUUGUUAAGUCAGAUGUGAAAGCCCGGGGCUCAACCUCGGAAUUGCAUUUGAAACUGGCAGACUAGAGUACUGUAGAGGGGGGUAGAAUUUCAGGUGUAGCGGUGAAAUGCGUAGAGAUCUGAAGGAAUACCGGUGGCGAAGGCGGCCCCCUGGACAGAUACUGACACUCAGAUGCGAAAGCGUGGGGAGCAAACAGGAUUAGAUACCCUGGUAGUCCACGCCGUAAACGAUGUCUACUUGGAGGUUGUGGCCUUGAGCCGUGGCUUUCGGAGCUAACGCGUUAAGUAGACCGCCCUGGGGGAGUACGGUCGCAAGAUUAAAACUCAAAUGAAUUUGACGGGGGGGCCCGCACAAGCGGUGGAGCAUGUGGGUUUAAUUUCGAUGCAACGCGAAGAACCUUACCUACUCUUGACAUCCAGAGAAACUUUUCCAGA
This 977-nucleotide ribosomal RNA is filed under the name Vibrio parahaemolyticus. Its description in RNAcentral is "bacterial SSU rRNA". It matches the Rfam family "Bacterial small subunit ribosomal RNA", at positions 55 to 1006 of the family's 1533-position model. The record is from RNAcentral. Lineage: Bacteria; Pseudomonadati; Pseudomonadota; Gammaproteobacteria; Vibrionales; Vibrionaceae.